UCUCAGUUCAGAUUGCAGGCUGCAACUCGCCUGCAUGAAGUCGGAAUUGCUAGUAAUCGCAGAUCAGCAUGCUGCGGUGAAUACGUUCCCGGGCCUUGCACACACCGCCCGUCACACCAUGGGAGUCGGUAACACCCGAAGUCGGUAGCCUAACCGUAAGGAGGGCGCCGCCGAAGGUGGGAUUGAUGACUGGGGUGAAGUCGUAACAAGGUAGC
This 215-nucleotide ribosomal RNA is filed under the name uncultured bacterium. RNAcentral's name for it is "partial 16S ribosomal RNA". It matches the Rfam family "Bacterial small subunit ribosomal RNA", at positions 1286 to 1500 of the family's 1533-position model. The record is from RNAcentral.